UUUAUGGAGAGUUUGAUCCUGGCUCAGGAUGAACGCUGGCGGCGUGCCUAAUACAUGCAAGUCGAGCGAACGGACGAGAAGCUUGCUUCUCUGAUGUUAGCGGCGGACGGGUGAGUAACACGUGGAUAACCUACCUAUAAGACUGGGAUAACUUCGGGAAACCGGAGCUAAUACCGGAUAAUAUUUUGAACCGCAUGGUUCAAAAGUGAAAGACGGUCUUGCUGUCACUUAUAGAUGGAUCCGCGCUGCAUUAGCUAGUUGGUAAGGUAACGGCUUACCAAGGCAACGAUGCAUAGCCGACCUGAGAGGGUGAUCGGCCACACUGGAACUGAGACACGGUCCAGACUCCUACGGGAGGCAGCAGUAGGGAAUCUUCCGCAAUGGGCGAAAGCCUGACGGAGCAACGCCGCGUGAGUGAUGAAGGUCUUCGGAUCGUAAAACUCUGUUAUUAGGGAAGAACAUAUGUGUAAGUAACUGUGCACAUCUUGACGGUACCUAAUCAGAAAGCCACGGCUAACUACGUGCCAGCAGCCGCGGUAAUACGUAGGUGGCAAGCGUUAUCCGGAAUUAUUGGGCGUAAAGCGCGCGUAGGCGGUUUUUUAAGUCUGAUGUGAAAGCCCACGGCUCAACCGUGGAGGGUCAUUGGAAACUGGAAAACUUGAGUGCAGAAGAGGAAAGUGGAAUUCCAUGUGUAGCGGUGAAAUGCGCAGAGAUAUGGAGGAACACCAGUGGCGAAGGCGACUUUCUGGUCUGUAACUGACGCUGAUGUGCGAAAGCGUGGGGAUCAAACAGGAUUAGAUACCCUGGUAGUCCACGCCGUAAACGAUGAGUGCUAAGUGUUAGGGGGUUUCCGCCCCUUAGUGCUGCAGCUAACGCAUUAAGCACUCCGCCUGGGGAGUACGACCGCAAGGUUGAAACUCAAAGGAAUUGACGGGGACCCGCACAAGCGGUGGAGCAUGUGGUUUAAUUCGAAGCAACGCGAAGAACCUUACCAAAUCUUGACAUCCUUUGACAACUCUAGAGAUAGAGCCUUCCCCUUCGGGGGACAAAGUGACAGGUGGUGCAUGGUUGUCGUCAGCUCGUGUCGUGAGAUGUUGGGUUAAGUCCCGCAACGAGCGCAACCCUUAAGCUUAGUUGCCAUCAUUAAGUUGGGCACUCUAAGUUGACUGCCGGUGACAAACCGGAGGAAGGUGGGGAUGACGUCAAAUCAUCAUGCCCCUUAUGAUUUGGGCUACACACGUGCUACAAUGGACAAUACAAAGGGCAGCGAAACCGCGAGGUCAAGCA
This 1287-nucleotide ribosomal RNA is filed under the name Staphylococcus aureus. Its description in RNAcentral is "bacterial SSU rRNA". It matches the Rfam family "Bacterial small subunit ribosomal RNA", at positions 1 to 1269 of the family's 1533-position model. The record is from RNAcentral. Lineage: Bacteria; Bacillati; Bacillota; Bacilli; Caryophanales; Staphylococcaceae.